Molecule: non-coding RNA, 100 nt
Filed under: Alicyclobacillus acidoterrestris
Lineage: Bacteria; Bacillati; Bacillota; Bacilli; Caryophanales; Alicyclobacillaceae
Also listed under: 1 other name
Description: Guanine sequence
Rfam family: Purine riboswitch aptamer
About the family: Riboswitches are metabolite binding domains within certain messenger RNAs that serve as precision sensors for their corresponding targets. Allosteric rearrangement of mRNA structure is mediated by ligand binding, and this results in modulation of gene expression.
Source: RNAcentral
GGCUACGAAUUUCAAAUGCCUCGUAUAACGCUGAGAAUAGGCUCGGCAGUCUCUACCAAGUGACCGGAAUCACUUGACUACGAGGACGUUACGGAUGAUA